RNAcentral lists this ribosomal RNA (3789 nucleotides) under Triticum aestivum (bread wheat). Its description in RNAcentral is "partial small subunit ribosomal RNA". The record is from RNAcentral. Lineage: Eukaryota; Viridiplantae; Streptophyta; Magnoliopsida; Poales; Poaceae.
AUGAAGCAUGGGGGCAACAUCAACCCCCCCAUUAUCCGUAAGGCCGAUGGCGUCCCGGCACACCACCAGAAUUGUCACAUCAUGGAUGAUUUUCCAUACAGGUAUUACAUUUGCAAGACAUGUGUGGAUUGUUCAUUUUGGAUCACAUCAUUUAAGUUCAUGAAGAAACAUCCGGCGACCAGAACUCACACAGCAAGAAGUAGAAGGAGAGAAGAGAGAUCAGCCUCGACAUCUCGUCACGACAACGCCGACGAUCAUUCGUACAAGAAGCAGGCGCCUCAACAGCAACAUGAACACCAGGUCGAUCUUCCCGAAAGCACAUGGUGGCGCGGUGGAGCUCGCGAUCAUGCAGCACUUCGUUGGCGCUAUCAUCAUCUUCCUCAAGCUAACCAAGACGACGAGGCUACUCCCGGACUUCACCAAGGCGUGGGAGAUGAGGGCGUGUCGAUGGGGCUACGGGCGCGCAGCCCAUUGGCCUCCUUUGUGGUGGCUACCCUUGGUGAUGAGACCGACGACGUCUACUUCGUCAAGCUAGAGUCCCGGAGGCGCGGAGCUCGCGCGGAUGCCGCCAUCGUGCCACGGUGGAUCAUGGCGUGGACCAAGAAGAUAACACACACCCUUGGUGCCGUCCGUGACCUGGAGGAGAAGAUGGUGCGACAUGACGGUCUCCACGACCCGGAGCCCAUGAAGAUGAGGCGUGAUGGCGAGGAGGCAAUGUCAAUCAAGCAACAUGAACAUGCCCUGCUUGGCUCGGCUCGGCUCCCGGCCGUAGUUUUCAUCGGCGAAUGUGGUGUGGCUCUCGGCAGUCUCCCAGACAAAGCACCACGAGGUCGCAUGUGGUCGUGGUGGCUACGGGUGCGCGAGGGCGGCGGCGAGCUGAAACCGACCGGGAGCCACCCGGCUUUUACUCCGGCCUCUGCCAGCACCAGGCUGUAUAACAGGGCGCCGUGUGGAAAGAUCCGUUCCACAAAACCUGUGGCAGGAAUAGUUCAUGGGUGGACUUGGCGCACCUCGGAGUGGUUGAGGCUGCUCCUGCGUGAACCGGACGUGACCACCUCACUCCGUGACACACCUUUUCUUUGCCACGUAGUACACGUUAACAAGCAGAGGCUGGCGCCACCUCCAUGGUGGAUGUACACAAGCAAAGUGCCAAUGGCGACCGGCGGGCGACGGGAUUGUUCGCGCAGGGCGGCAGCGGCGGCGGCGGCGGCGGCCCAAGGCGGAUCUCGAUUCUCCGGUGAUCUAUGCCCGCCCCCCUCGAUGGGCGCGGGCGAGCCGCGGGCCGCCGCCGGCGCCGGCGCGGAGGAGGACGGGGUGGCGUUCCCGCGGGUCGAGGGAGGCGGCGGGGUGGCGUUUCCGCGGGUCGAGGGAGGCGGCGGGGUGGCGUUCCCGCGGGCAGAGGGAGGGGGCGGGGUGGGGUUCCCGCUGGCAGAGGGAGGGGGCGCGCUGGUGAAUUUGAAUCUGGCAUAUAUUUUUCUGUUGGUUAUGGAUUUGGGAUGGGAAAACGGUAGCUGCAACCUGCGUACUGGUUUUGCUGGAACCGGUGAUCGCGGCGAGCUGCAGAGCUCAAAACAGCAAAUUAGACUGGAGGGAGCUACAACCGGUUCCCAGGAUGCUACAACGGGCGCCACGGAGAGCUGGAAGCAGCCAUCCAGGAUGCUACCUGCCCAUGUUGCAGGCACCUCUGGUGAGAAUGAGGGGAGUAAGAAGGCUAAGAAGAAGAAUAAGAAGAAAGGCAAUCUAUGUGGCUUUAAGUCAAGCAAGCUUAUGGUGAAAAGGAUUUUGAACGUGCCAUCCGGUGAUAGACCCGUGAAGCUUCUAAAGAAGAGUGAUGAACAUGAUCUUCGCAGCAUCUACAAGGAGGGGAACAGGGCUCCAAUCGCCCAUGUUGUCAAGUUGCUCACUAGUUGCAGUGAGGAGGACGUGGUUAUGAUAAAUAGGACUUGGGCACUCCUUGCGUUGGCAACAGUUUUGUGCCCAGGCACGGGCAAUAUGGUGAAUCUCGAGUAUCUUGCUUCCCUGGAAGAUAUGUCUUUAGUGCAUGAAUUCGCUUGGGAUGAGCACUUGUUGGCACGAGCGAUGGAAGAGGUUGGAGUCUUUCAAGAGAAGAAGAGGAUGCAAGCAAACACAGAAAAAGAGUUUCAGAUUGCUUCAUGCCUUCCCAUGUUAGCGAUCCGGAGUUUGUGCAACACCCCCUAUGCAGCACAACUUGCGGGACAGGAAGUUGGUGCUGAAGCAGCUAGUGGGCAGGGAGUUGGUGCUGAAGCACCUAGUGGCCAAGGAACUAGUGGCCAAGGAAGCCAAGUUCAAGGUGCUGAAAAUCAAGCAAAGAACUCUCAAUCAAACGAGGCUCAACAAAAUGUUGAUGCUGAACCACACCUAUCAUCAUCGCUGAACGAUUGGCUGCAGCAAUCAUUCCCUAGCAUGCAAGAUCUAAGGGUACCAACUCAGUUUCAAAUGCUUUACGACAAGCACAAGGGUAUUUUUGCAGCGGAGGUGGAUGAUGUUGUAGGCAAGUUUGGACAGUGUUUAAAGGGAUUGCAGUGCAGCCGGAUGGCUGCCCUGCUUCGCGAUGUUGGAGACGCCAUCACAGCUACCAGUGAGCCCAACUUCUCCUUUGAAGCACCUAUCAUGGACGAAUGUCGCGGAAAAGAGAAUGAUGCUAAAGCUGCAAAUGAUGGCAUUGGUGCUCAAGCUCAAGCUAAAGUGAGUUUCGAGAUGGAAGGGAACGUCUCACCUCACAGCCCCCCACUCUUCUGUGAUGCACCCAGGAGUGCGACAACCGGCAUUUGGGACGACGAGCCAUCCUGUGAGUUGUUCCCAAAGGGCUCCAAAGACUACGAGAUGAUGCAUUGCACAAAUGAGCCUAUAAUCAAGAGCACAGUCAGCCCCAUCUUUGAAAACAUCCCUGUGUUCCCUGUUUCAAACGAUGAUGACAGCCCAACUCCUAAGAUGGACGCUACAGAAGAGCAAAUUGUUGAUGCAAGCAGUGGCCCUAGCACACAUGACAAGAACACUAGGAAGAAGAGGAUGGCCAAAAUUCCAGCCGUAAAAAAUACCAAGGCAAAGAAGCAAAAGGUCGAUGCAGCUGCAGCCACAUAUGAGAAGUAUGUAAAGCAUGGGAAACCAUUGAGGAGAUCACAAGCCAAUGAACAAGUGACACCUUUCAUCAAGAUAGGUGGAUUUUACAUUGGAUACAAGAAAUUCCUGGUAUGCUUCAAGCCUCGUGGGGAUAUGAAUGAUGAGGUUAUGUCCCUAUGUAUCGAGAUGAACAACAUGGCAUCCCGUGCAGCAAGUGGUACGAAUCGGAAGAAAUACAUGUUCUCAGUCCACGCGGGGAUCCUACUAAAACAAGACCCAACAACCUUCCAACCAGCAAAACUCAUACCCGAGCUUGAAAGGGCUGUGACAAAGUUCAAGGCGAAUAAAUAUGACCUCUGGAAUGUAUUUGACUCAAUCCAUUCAAAAGGAAAACAAUCUCCUUUGAAGAAGCAGGCAAAUAACCUGAUCACAAACUUUGCAGCCCUCGCACAAGAGUACAGCGAAUUCAAUGUCAAUGUUGGAUCCUUCGCCCGUGUUGACCUAAAGGAUUACCCAAAGCAAGAUAACCUAUGUGAUUGUGGCUUUUUCGGGCUCAAAUAUGUGGAGAACUUUAAUGGGAAGUCAAUGAAAGAGUUCAAACAGGAAGACAUGGCACGAUACCGCAUGGAUGUGGCGCACAACCUCUGCAUUCACCCAAUCAACAAUGCCCCAAUGGAGCGGGCAUUCAGGGAAGAGUUGGCGGCUUAA